Molecule: ribosomal RNA, 253 nt
Filed under: uncultured bacterium
Lineage: Bacteria
Description: partial 16S ribosomal RNA
Rfam family: Bacterial small subunit ribosomal RNA
Source: RNAcentral
UACAGAGGGGGCAAGCGUUGUUCGGAAUUACUGGGCGUAAAGCGUGCGUAGACGGUUAUUUAAGUCGGAUGUGAAAGCCCCGGGCUCAACCUGGGAAUUGCAUUCGAGACUGAAUAGCUAGGGUGCGGUAGAGGGAAGCGGAAUUUCCGGUGUAGCGGUGAAAUGCGUAGAUAUCGGAAGGAACAUCAGUGGCGAAAGCGGCUUCCUGGACCAGCACCGACGUUCAGGCACGAAAGCGUGGGGAGCAAACAGG